This 117-nucleotide ribosomal RNA is filed under the name Petromyzon marinus (sea lamprey). The record is from RNAcentral. Lineage: Eukaryota; Metazoa; Chordata; Hyperoartia; Petromyzontiformes; Petromyzontidae.
CUAUGACUAAACCACAUGGAAUGGGCCCGAUUUCAUCAGAUCUUGAAAGCUUAAGCAGACGUGAGCCUGGAUAGAAUUGGAUGGGUGACCACCUUGCAUAACAGGUUGUUGUACAGG